Molecule: ribosomal RNA, 442 nt
Filed under: uncultured bacterium
Lineage: Bacteria
Description: partial 16S ribosomal RNA
Rfam family: Bacterial small subunit ribosomal RNA
Source: RNAcentral
CCUACGGGUGGCAGCAGUGGGGGAUAUUGGACAAUGGGGGGAACCCUGAUCCAGCGACGCCGCGUGAGUGAAGAAGUAUCUCGGUAUGUAAAGCUCUAUCAGCAGGGAAGAAGAAAUGACGGUACCUGAGUAAGAAGCCCCGGCUAACUACGUGCCAGCAGCCGCGGUAAUACGUAGGGUGCGAGCGUUAACCGGAUUUACUGGGCGUAAAGCGCUCGUAGGCGGUAUGUCAAGUCAGGGGUGAAAUCCCCGCGCUCAACGUGGGAACUGCCUUUGAAACUGGCAAACUGGAGUGUGUGAGAGGCUGGUGGAAUUCCAAGUGUAGGAGUGAAAUGCGUAGAUAUCUGGAGGAACAGCAGUGGCGAAGGCGACUAUCUGGCACAUAACUGACGCUGAGGAGCGAAAGCGUGGGUAGCAAACAGGAUUAGAUACCCUGGUAGUC